UCUAUUCUAUAUUUUCAAAACUACAUCUAUACAUUUAUCCUACAAAUCUACAACUCCCAGUUUAUGGCUACACGUGCUGAUCUUAUCUAUAGUCAUGCAUAUUCAUUAGCUAUGUAGGCGUGUCAAAAUCGUAUCAUACGCGAUAAUGACCAGCCAGUACACACUGUAAUGAUUUCAUUAACCAGUAUUAAAAAGAUAAACAUAACAUCCCCGCCCACAAAUUAGAAAUUUCUAAAAAUUUCUUACUGGUAAAUGAAAUCUAUUUAUAUAAAAAUUAUGAAUAAUAAUAAUAAAAUAAAAAAAAAA
Molecule: long non-coding RNA, 306 nt
Filed under: Mytilus galloprovincialis (Mediterranean mussel)
Lineage: Eukaryota; Metazoa; Mollusca; Bivalvia; Mytilida; Mytilidae
Source: RNAcentral